AUUGAACGCUGGCGGCAGGCCUAACACAUGCAAGUCGAGCGGAUGAAGGGAGCUUGCUCCUGGAUUCAGCGGCGGACGGGUGAGUAAUGCCUAGGAAUCUGCCUGGUAGUGGGGGAUAACGUCCGGAAACGGGCGCUAAUACCGCAUACGUCCUGAGGAGAAAGUGGGGGAUCUUCGGACCUCACGCUAUCAGAUGAGCCUAGGUCGGAUUAGCUAGUUGGUGGGGUAAAGGCCUACCAAGGCGACGAUCCGUAACUGGUCUGAGAGGAUGACCAGUCACACUGGAACUGAGACACGGUCCAGACUCCUACGGGAGGCAGCAGUGGGGAAUAUUGGACAAUGGGCGAAAGCCUGAUCCAGCCAUGCCGCGUGUGUGAAGAAGGUCUUCGGAUUGUAAAGCACUUUAAGUUGGGAGGAAGGGCAGUAAGUUAAUACCUUGCUGUUUUGACGUUACCAACAGAAUAAGCACCGGCUAACUUCGUG
RNAcentral lists this ribosomal RNA (483 nucleotides) under uncultured bacterium. RNAcentral describes it as "partial 16S ribosomal RNA". It matches the Rfam family "Bacterial small subunit ribosomal RNA", at positions 30 to 507 of the family's 1533-position model. The record is from RNAcentral.